Molecule: ribosomal RNA, 724 nt
Filed under: uncultured bacterium
Lineage: Bacteria
Description: bacterial SSU rRNA
Rfam family: Bacterial small subunit ribosomal RNA
Source: RNAcentral
GGGGGAUAACUACUGGAAACGGUAGCUAAUACCGCAUAACGUCGCAAGACCAAAGAGGGGGACCUUCGGGCCUCUUGCCAUCGGAUGUGCCCAGAUGGGAUUAGCUUGUAGGUGAGGUAACGGCUCACCUAGGCGACGAUCCCUAGCUGGUCUGAGAGGAUGACCAGCCACACUGGAACUGAGACACGGUCCAGACUCCUACGGGAGGCAGCAGUGGGGAAUAUUGCACAAUGGGCGCAAGCCUGAUGCAGCCAUGCCGCGUGUAUGAAGAAGGCCUUCGGGUUGUAAAGUACUUUCAGCGGGGAGGAAGGGAGUGAGGUUAAUAACCUCAUUCAUUGACGUUACCCGCAGAAGAAGCACCGGCUAACUCCGUGCCAGCAGCCGCGGUAAUACGGAGGGUGCGAGCGUUAAUCGGAAUUACUGGGCGUAAAGCGCACGCAGGCGGUCUGUCAAGUCGGAUGUGAAAUCCCCGGGCUCAACCUGGGAACUGCAUUCGAAACUGGCAGGCUGGAGUCUUGUAGAGGGGGGUAGAAUUCCAGGUGUAGCGGUGAAAUGCGUAGAGAUCUGGAGGAAUACCGGUGGCGAAGGCGGCCCCCUGGACAAAGACUGACGCUCAGGUGCGAAAGCGUGGGGAGCAAACAGGAUUAGAUACCCUGGUAGUCCACGCUGUAAACGAUGUCGACUUGGAGGUUGUUCCCUUGAGGAGUGGCUUCCGGAGCUAACG